GAUUUUUAUCCAUUUUUAUUGAAUGGAAACAGAAUGCAACCACCAAUUCAUUGUCCACACGAGAUGUUCAAUGUUAUGUCAAUGUGUUGGAAUGAAAAUCCUACAGAUCGUCCAAACUUCUCCAGUUUAAUUAAAAUGCUGCACGAAAUCCUUGGUUUGAAUGACGGAAUGCUAGAGGCAACCAACGAUAGUGAUGACAACAUCACGAGUAGCUGUUAAAAAGGUAGCAUAUUAAAUCGUAAUCGAACCGAUUUACAGUGCAUGCAAACAGAUGUAAAAAUUUUUAACCGAAACUGUGACGAUUAAUACUGCAGAUGCGGCAAAAAUGUAAACAAACUAAA
Molecule: long non-coding RNA, 341 nt
Organism: Dendronephthya gigantea
Lineage: Eukaryota; Metazoa; Cnidaria; Anthozoa; Malacalcyonacea; Nephtheidae
Exons: 3
Source: RefSeq, a predicted model, not a curated record